RNAcentral lists this small RNA (100 nucleotides) under Pan troglodytes (chimpanzee). RNAcentral's name for it is "processed transcript". The record is from RNAcentral. RNAcentral also lists the same sequence under 1 other name. Lineage: Eukaryota; Metazoa; Chordata; Mammalia; Primates; Hominidae.
GCACAUUUGAACAAUGGUUCAAUGCUCCAUUUGCCAUGACUGGUGAAAGGCAUGUUUACCAGGCUACCAGAAAAGGGUCCCAACCGGUGGAAUGCUUAAC